This 45-nucleotide ribosomal RNA is filed under the name Hyphoderma setigerum. RNAcentral's name for it is "partial 28S ribosomal RNA". The record is from RNAcentral. Lineage: Eukaryota; Fungi; Basidiomycota; Agaricomycetes; Polyporales; Hyphodermataceae.
UUACCCGCUGAACUUAAGCAUAUCAAUAACCCCGCCCGCCGCGCC